This 406-nucleotide ribosomal RNA is filed under the name uncultured bacterium. RNAcentral's name for it is "partial 16S ribosomal RNA". It matches the Rfam family "Bacterial small subunit ribosomal RNA", at positions 30 to 526 of the family's 1533-position model. The record is from RNAcentral.
AUCGAACGCUGGCGGCAGGCUUAACACAUGCAAGUCGAACGAGUGGCGGACGGGUGAGUAGUGUCUGGGCAACUGCCUGAUGGAGGGGGAUAACUACUGGAAACGGUAGCUAAUACCGCAUACCAUCGGAUGUGCCCAGAUGGGAUUAGCUAGUAGGUGGGGUAAAGGCUCACCUAGGCGACGAUCCCUAGCUGGUCUGCGAGGAUGACCGGCCACACUGGAACUGAGACACGGUCCAGACUCCUACGGGAGGCAGCAGUGGGGAAUAUUGGACAAUGGGCGCAAGCCGGAUGCAGCCAUGCCGCGUGUAUGAAGAAGGCGUUCGGGUUGUAAAGUACUUUCGGCGGGGAGGCGUUACCCGCAGAAGAAGCACCGGCUAACUCCGUGCCAGCCGCCGCGGUAAUUC